RNAcentral lists this unclassified non-coding RNA (805 nucleotides) under Hevea brasiliensis (rubber tree). Lineage: Eukaryota; Viridiplantae; Streptophyta; Magnoliopsida; Malpighiales; Euphorbiaceae. The record is from RNAcentral.
GAAAUUCACUGCAAGAAAAAGAUUAAGCUCAGCCGACUUAAUUUCUUAACAGAAUGCCUUAAUCAACCUGCCAAAAAUUCACGAACAUAUCCCAUAAAUCUUUCAAACUUUCACCUAAAUAUAAUUAGGCAGAGCCUUUUACAGCAACUUUUGUGUUAUCCUAACUAACGUAAGACUACUUCUCCAAUAAUGAUAAGCAAAACAGUAUAAACAAUAACAUAAAGAAACCUUGUAUUAUUCGAUUCUUCUAUACCUAUUUAUAAAAAAGUUCAAUCCUAGUUUUUUUCUUCUUGAAUUUUAUUUUCUAUAGAAAAGGUUUUAAAUUUUAUAAGACAUUUUUUUUUUAUGCUGAUGUUAUUUAUUUUUAUCAUCAAACUUUCUGUCACAUCCCUCUUCCCAAACCAUGACAUGUAUGACUUAUACAAAACUGACAGUUUCCCUUGAAAUUUUCAAACUAAACAUUAAGAUCUUCAAUAGAUUAUAGAUUCACCAAACAAUCAAUUUAAGAAAAUAAAUCCACCUCUAUUAAGGACACAUUUAUACCUUUUAUAUUAAUUAAAGAACGAUAAAAAAUACAUCACCUGACACAUUUCUAGUCAUAUAUUGUACAUAUAAUUUAAAAGAAAAAUCGCCAAGUAAUUAUAACACGAAGGUUAUAGUUACUUACUUUGGACCGCACCCCAAGGUCGCCUACGUACCUCCUCUGGAGGAUCAAGUCGACAUAACUUUUAAAUUAUGUCGAAAAUUCAGCAAAGAUUCCCCUAAAUGUAGGCAUUUCUCCCCUUUUAACAAUCAAAUAAACUCA